AAGUCGUAACAAGGUUUCCGUAGGUGAACCUGCGGAAGGAUCAUUAAUACGCUUUUGUUUGUAACAAAACAAAACGUUUAAAACUCCAAAAGAAAUAGUGGAAAUAUAACUUCCGGAUGCGAAUGUUGGGAACUGAGUAAAAUCGGUUCUUUUGAAAAAGGGACUUCAAGCAAUUGACACUUCAGAGUAGAGCAGUGAGGUGAAAUUCUCUUUUCGAAGAGAGUUUGGUUCUGAAAAACAUUUGUAUCCGGUUAUCAUAAUCUGUUCUACAAACUCCAAAAUAUCAAACAAUAAACCCCAUGUACAACAACUUGAACUAAACAUUUUUUUGUUGUCUGCUUGCACACUUGUUGUGUGAGAAGAUGCUACAAAGAAAAAACCUGAACUUAAGAACAACUCUUAACAACGGAUAUCUUGGUUCUG
This 423-nucleotide unclassified non-coding RNA is filed under the name fungal sp. RNAcentral describes it as "partial internal transcribed spacer region". The stretch from base 1 to 46 matches the Rfam family "Eukaryotic small subunit ribosomal RNA", at positions 1786 to 1831 of the family's 1831-position model. Lineage: Eukaryota; Fungi. The record is from RNAcentral.